RNAcentral lists this ribosomal RNA (497 nucleotides) under uncultured bacterium. RNAcentral describes it as "partial 16S ribosomal RNA". It matches the Rfam family "Bacterial small subunit ribosomal RNA", at positions 28 to 507 of the family's 1533-position model. The record is from RNAcentral.
GAUGAACGCUGGCGGCGUGCCUAAUACAUGCAAGUCGAGCGAACGGACGAGAAGCUUUUUUCUCUGAUGUUAGCGGCGGACGGGUGAGUAACACGUGGAUAACCUUCCUAUAAGACUGGGAUAACUUCGGGAAACCGGAUAUAAUAACGGAUCAUAUUUUGAACCGGUUGGUUCAAAAGUGAAAGACGGUCUUGCUGAUACAAAGAGAUGGAUCCGCGCUGCAUUAGCUAGUUGGUAAGGUAACGGCUUACCAAGGCAACGAUGCAUAGCCGACCUGAGAGGGUGAUCGGCCACACUGGAACUGAGACACGGUCCAGACUCCUACGGGAGGCAGCAGUAGGGAAUCUUCCGCAAUGGGCGAAAGCCUGACGGAGCAACGCCGCGUGAGUGAUGAAGGUCUUCGGAUCGUAAAACUCUGUUAUUAGGGAAGAACAUAUGUGUAAGUAACUGUGCACAUCUUGACGGUACCUAAUCAGAAAGCCACGGCUAACUACGUG